RNAcentral lists this ribosomal RNA (253 nucleotides) under uncultured bacterium. RNAcentral's name for it is "partial 16S ribosomal RNA". It matches the Rfam family "Bacterial small subunit ribosomal RNA", at positions 524 to 776 of the family's 1533-position model. The record is from RNAcentral.
UACGAAGGGGGCUAGCGUUGUUCGGAAUUACUGGGCGUAAAGCGCACGUAGGCGGACUGUCAAGUCAGGGGUGAAAUCCCGGGGCUCAACCUCGGAACUGCCUUUGAUACUGUCAGUCUAGAGUCCGGAAGAGGUGGGUGGAAUUCCUAGUGUAGAGGUGAAAUUCGCAGAUAUUAGGAAGAACACCAGUGGCGAAGGCGGCUCACUGGUCCGGUACUGACGCUGAGGUGCGAAAGCGUGGGGAGCAAACAGG